RNAcentral lists this ribosomal RNA (496 nucleotides) under uncultured bacterium. Its description in RNAcentral is "partial 16S ribosomal RNA". It matches the Rfam family "Bacterial small subunit ribosomal RNA", at positions 28 to 506 of the family's 1533-position model. The record is from RNAcentral.
GAUGAACGCUGGCGGCGUGCCUAAUACAUGCAAGUCGAGCGAACAGAUAAGGAGCUUGCUCCUUUGACGUUAGCGGCGGACGGGUGAGUAACACGUGGGUAACCUACCUAUAAGACUGGAAUAACUCCGGGAAACCGGGGCUAAUGCCGGAUAACAUUUAGAACCGCAUGGUUCUAAAGUGAAAGAUGGUUUUGCUAUCACUUAUAGAUGGACCCGCGCCGUAUUAGCUAGUUGGUAAGGUAACGGCUUACCAAGGCAACGAUACGUAGCCGACCUGAGAGGGUGAUCGGCCACACUGGAACUGAGACACGGUCCAGACUCCUACGGGAGGCAGCAGUAGGGAAUCUUCCGCAAUGGGCGAAAGCCUGACGGAGCUACGCCGCGUGAGUGAUGAAGGUCUUCGGAUCGUAAAACUCUGUUAUUAGGGAAGAACAAAUGUGUAAGUAACUGUGCACGUCUUGACGGUACCUAAUCAGAAAGCCACGGCUAACUACGU